RNAcentral lists this ribosomal RNA (633 nucleotides) under Russula pelargonia. RNAcentral's name for it is "LSU rRNA". It matches the Rfam family "Eukaryotic large subunit ribosomal RNA", at positions 41 to 649 of the family's 3401-position model. The record is from RNAcentral. Lineage: Eukaryota; Fungi; Basidiomycota; Agaricomycetes; Russulales; Russulaceae.
UAUCAAUAAGCGGAGGAAAAGAAACUAACAAGGAUUCCCCUAGUAACUGCGAGUGAAGCGGGAAAAGCUCAAAUUUAAAAUCUGGUGGUCUUUGGCCAUCCGAGUUGUAAUUUAGAGAAGCGUCUUCCGCGCUGGACCGUGCACAAGUCUCCUGGAAUGGAGCGUCGUAGAGGGUGAGAAUCCCGUCUUUGGCACGGAUGCACCAGGGCUUCUGUGAUGCGCUCUCGAAGAGUCGAGUUGUUUGGGAAUGCAGCUCAAAAUGGGUGGUGAACUCCAUCUAAAGCUAAAUAUUGGCGAGAGACCGAUAGCGAACAAGUACCGUGAGGGAAAGAUGAAAAGCACUUUGGAAAGAGAGUGAAACAGUACGUGAAAUUGUUGAAAGGGAAACGCUUGAAGUCAGUCGCGUCGCCCGAGACUCAGCCUCGCCUCGGCUUGGUGUACUUCUCGGCCGACGGGUCAGCAUCAAUUUCGCCCCUUGGAUAAUGGCGAGGGAAAUGUGGCACCUUCACGGGUGUGUUAUAGUCUCUCGUCGCAUGCAAGGGUCGGGAUUGAGGAACUCAGCACGCGCCUUUCGGCGUCGGGGUUCGCCCACGAUACGUGCUUAGGAUGUUGGCGUAAUGGCUUUAAACGACC